GACCUGGUGGUGAAAUGUAUCAUACCCAUUGCAGUUAUGUGUUCAUUUGAAAAGUGUUUAUGGAGGGUCCCCGGUUCGAAUCUGGGCUAGGUCA
Molecule: non-coding RNA, 94 nt
Organism: Mycena leptocephala
Lineage: Eukaryota; Fungi; Basidiomycota; Agaricomycetes; Agaricales; Mycenaceae
Source: the annotation of a GenBank genome assembly